Long non-coding RNA from Penaeus vannamei (Pacific white shrimp), 447 nucleotides. RefSeq lists it as uncharacterized. The record is from RefSeq and is a predicted model, not a curated record. Lineage: Eukaryota; Metazoa; Arthropoda; Malacostraca; Decapoda; Penaeidae.
GUCCGUCGAGACCUUGCAACAGAAGCACGACGCAUCCUCCGAAAAUGAAGUUUCUGGCGUUGACUCUGACUGUCCUUCUGGCGUUGUCGGUGGCGCUGGUCGGCGCCAGUCCGGCCCCCUUGCUCAAGAAGCUGCUGAAGCUCUUUAAGAAAGGGGGAGGCAUCGGGGGCGGUCUGCACCACCCGGUUCCGCCGCCCCUGUUCCACCCGCCGAUCUACGGUCACGGGUUCGGUUACGGCCACCACAAAGGCUUCGGAAGAUGAGGAGGAAGGCUCGAGAUUGCCGCUAUGAGGCCGGAAAUUCUCACCUUAGCUUUGUCGUCGAGUGAAACUUAGCUUCGUGUUUCGAGUUCUAUGUGUUGGUUAUUUAUUGUAAAAAAAAAAAAAAAAAAAAAAACAGAAUUAGAUGACAUUUAGUACACGUUUCGGAUAUAAAGUUUACAAAACA